GCCAUNGUUUUUAGCAGUAUUCUAACUCAGAUUAUUCAUAAUUUUUCAGGUGAAAACACAAUAAUUAUCUGGGCCAGUGUUAGUGCGGGUCUUCUCCUUCUGGUUCUCGUUCUGUUGUUGCUUGCCUUCAUUUUGUACAGGAAAAGAAAAGCAGGUAAGUAGGAUUCUAGAAGUGUUACUUUAAAAUGCCUGAGUGUAAGGACGAUUCCGCACUGGCUGGAAUACCAGACCAGCAAGUGUAUCAGGAGCCUCCCUUCCACAUGCUAGUGAUGUCUAAGGGAGGCUCUGCCCAUAGAGGGCAGGGUCUAAAGGGGCAGGGCCUUUCUUAGAAUGCAUCAUCAUGUAGAAGAGAAGUUCCUAAUAUGCUUGCUGGUCUGCUAUACCUGCCAGUGCAGAUUUGCCCUAAGACAUGCAGAACUGAAGACAUAGCACCUCCACAUGAGGGAGGCUUUCACAAGAAAAGCCUUUUUCAAAAAUUUACCUUUUCAGACAUGUUUUCUCUUUAAAAGGAAAACAAGUUUCUAGUCCUUAUUGUUGCAAAGAUAUGCUUUAUGGGAGCUUCUAUGGGCAAUUCCUAGUGAGAUUUCAAGACNAAGGAAGAUGUCCUGCAGUCAGAGGGAUGGGGCAUUGGAUAGGUAGCAGUCUUUUUUUGAGUCUGCAAGAAGCAGAAAUCAGUAAAAUAAAUAUGCUUGUGAAUAGCACUGGAGGAUCUGAACCACUCUGAUGCAGAAUUGCCAUAACACAGAUUAUUUGCAAUUCAACAUACAUGAAGCAAGACAAAGAGCUUUUAGAAAUAGCAUCCACAAUUGCAGUUUGGAAAAAAAAUGAUCAAAAUAUCUCACAAGGUUUCUCUAAAUCUACAGGCUCCAUCACCGGUGAAAGAAAUCAACCAGUAAGUGUGCCUCUUCAGCCCAAAACGUCUGCAGAACCUGAUGAAGUCUCCUAUGCUACGUUAAACCACUCAGUGAAAAUCAGACAGACAUCCACCCCCAAAGAAGUCCCUGAAUCUUGUGUCUAUGCAUCAGUGGCCCAAGACAGAAUGAGAAAGGAAUAAUAGCAGAAAGACUCCAGGAUAUUGCUGAUCUUUGCUGAACUUCUCCAUAUAUAUAAAACUUCUGGAGGUUGUGGAAGAAAAGAAUAAACUGGGGAAAAAACAGUAGAAACCUGGCA
RNAcentral lists this long non-coding RNA (1170 nucleotides) under Salvator merianae (Argentine black and white tegu). RNAcentral's name for it is "lncRNA (ENSSMRG00000003964.1)". The record is from RNAcentral. Lineage: Eukaryota; Metazoa; Chordata; Lepidosauria; Squamata; Teiidae.